Molecule: ribosomal RNA, 379 nt
Filed under: Ramlibacter sp. AT12-07
Lineage: Bacteria; Pseudomonadati; Pseudomonadota; Betaproteobacteria; Burkholderiales; Comamonadaceae
Description: bacterial SSU rRNA
Rfam family: Bacterial small subunit ribosomal RNA
Source: RNAcentral
AAUACCCCGGGUUCAUGACGGUACCGUAAGAAUAAGCACCGGCUAACUUCGUGCCAGCAGCCGCGGUAAUACGUAGGGUGCAAGCGUUAAUCGGAAUUACUGGGCGUAAAGGGUGCGCAGGCGGUGAUGUAAGUCAGGUGUGAAAUCCCCGGGCUUAACCUGGGAAUUGCAUUUGUGACUGCAUGGCUGGAGUGCGGCAGAGGGGGAUGGAAUUCCGAGUGUAGCAGUGAAAUUCGUAGAUAUUCGGAGGAACACCGAUGGCGAAGGCAAUCCCCUGGUCCUGUUCUGACGCUCAUGCACGAAAGCGUGGGGAGCAAACAGGAUUAGAUACCCUGGUAGUCCACGCCGUAAACGAUGUCAACCGGUUGUUGGUCAUUCA